This 768-nucleotide long non-coding RNA is filed under the name Nothobranchius furzeri (turquoise killifish). RNAcentral's name for it is "lncRNA (ENSNFUG00015018667.1)". The record is from RNAcentral. Lineage: Eukaryota; Metazoa; Chordata; Actinopteri; Cyprinodontiformes; Nothobranchiidae.
AUGUCUCAGUUCCCAGUUGUACUUCCACCACAGAGAAGGGAACCCAUCAGACCCAGCCAAACACAGAAGCGUGUACAGAAAGGCUGCGACGGCUGCAUUAACCUUCACAAAUGCACAGCUGAUAAACACAAUAUUAGUCAACAGAAGGGAUUUAGGAAAUCACAAACCAAUCAGUGGGAUCUGAUGUGUUCAGAGGACCAGGAAGGAGACCCCAUGUCCUCUCUUGUGUCGCCACUAGAGAGCAGCAGCGAGUCACACCUCCCAAACAAUCAGCUGUUUAGACGGCCGUUAGCAGUGUGGCAGGCCAAAUCAGAAAAGAUGGCCUGUUCUGACAAUUUCCAGAAGAAUGAGUCAGCCUGGAUGGAGAAGAUUCCAAGGAAAGGACACCCAGUCUCUCACACCCGGUGUGCCGGUUGUGUGCUGUCUUUUGAAGAAGUGACCAGUCGCACUUUUGCAUCUCUUCAAAGCUCCUGCCACAACACCUGUGACAUGCACCUAGUCCUCAGAGAGGCCACAGAGCGAUUCAGGAGGCAGCACCUUAACUUUGCGCUGAUGAAAAAGCAACAGAACGAUGCUGUAGCGCACACACACACACACUCUAUGAGCGCUUCUCUUCCAAAGUCACAAAGAAGCUGUGAGUGCUCAGGUGGGAGGACGCCUCGAUGUUUGAAUCGGAAAGAAAAUAAAUGUAGCCCUCUUGUUCCAAAAUAUCAGCAAUCUUACAAAUACAUUCUACUGAAACGGAAAGAAAAACAAGUAAACAAAUAG